This 515-nucleotide ribosomal RNA is filed under the name uncultured bacterium. RNAcentral describes it as "bacterial SSU rRNA". It matches the Rfam family "Bacterial small subunit ribosomal RNA", at positions 355 to 886 of the family's 1533-position model. The record is from RNAcentral.
UGGGGAAUCUUGGACAAUGGGGGCAACCCUGAUCCAGCCAUGCCGCGUGAGUGAUGAAGGCCUUAGGGUCGUAAAGCUCUUUCGCCUGUGAAGAUAAUGACGGUAGCAGGUAAAGAAACCCCGGCUAACUCCGUGCCAGCAGCCGCGGUAAUACGGAGGGGGUUAGCGUUGUUCGGAAUUACUGGGCGUAAAGCGCACGUAGGCGGACCAGAAAGUUGGGGGUGAAAUCCCGGGGGCUCAACCCCGGAACUGCCUCCAAAACUAUUGGUCUAGAGUUCGAGAGAGGUGAGUGGAAUUCCAAGUGUAGAGGUGAAAUUCGUAGAUAUUUGGAGGAACACCAGUGGCGAAGGCGGCUCACUGGCUCGAUACUGACGCUGAGGUGCGAAAGUGUGGGGAGCAAACAGGAUUAGAUACCCUGGUAGUCCACACCGUAAAACGAUGAAUGCCAGUCGUCGGGUAGCAUGCUAUUCGGUGACACACCUAACGGAUUAAGCAUUCCGCCUGGGGAGUACGGU